GGGCCUCUGGCGCAACGGUAGCGCGUUGUAAGUUGCACUGUCUUCGCAAUCCAGACGUUUCAUAUUCUAACAAUUUCACAGCGACUCCAGAUCGAAAGGUUAUCCGUUCAAAUCGGGUGGGGCUCA
Aspergillus pseudonomiae is the source of this 126-nucleotide non-coding RNA. NCBI's taxonomy places the organism in Eukaryota, Fungi, Ascomycota, Eurotiomycetes, Eurotiales, Aspergillaceae. The record is from the annotation of a RefSeq genome assembly.